AUGGUCAGCUACAUGAUUUGGCACACGACAUGGGGGCUAAGUUCGGAUGACGACGACAGGUGCUGCAACCUACAGCAGCUACAAAAAAUGGAGCAGAUACACAAACUGGACAGGGGGGACAGUACAGCUGAACUUCAGACAUCAAAUUCACUUAGAGAACAAUACAGAACAGGAAAACGGGAAGGAAUCGACGCUUUGACUUGGAUACAGUUUUUAAGAGAGGUGGGAAGGAACCAACUUCAGACAUCAAAUGAGGCCACCUGCCACAAGCAUGGCGCCUCGAAGCGGAGCAAGUUGCAAGAUGCGGCGAAGUUUCACGGCCUGAGGCGGCGAAGUUGA
This 339-nucleotide ribosomal RNA is filed under the name Triticum aestivum (bread wheat). Its description in RNAcentral is "partial small subunit ribosomal RNA". The record is from RNAcentral. Lineage: Eukaryota; Viridiplantae; Streptophyta; Magnoliopsida; Poales; Poaceae.